AUGUAUCACUCGUAUACUCCGGUUCUGAGCGCACCGUCCACACCCACCCGACGACGGUUCGCUACGCGCCCUCAGCC
This 77-nucleotide small RNA is filed under the name Xanthomonas cucurbitae. RNAcentral's name for it is "sX9 sRNA". It matches the Rfam family "Xanthomonas sRNA sX9". The record is from RNAcentral. RNAcentral also lists the same sequence under 1 other name. Lineage: Bacteria; Pseudomonadati; Pseudomonadota; Gammaproteobacteria; Lysobacterales; Lysobacteraceae.